ACGAACGCUGGCGGCGUGCUUAACACAUGCAAGUCGAACGAAGAGCGAUGGAAGCUUGCUUCUAUCAAUCUUAGUGGCCAACGGGUGAGUAACGCGUAAUCAACCUGCCCUUCAGAGGGGGACAACAGUUGGAAACGACUGCUAAUACCGCAUACGAUCUAAUCUCGGCAUCGAGGAUAGAUGAAAGGUGGCCUCUACAUGUAAGCUAUCACUGAAGGAGGGGAUUGCGUCUGAUUAGCUAGUUGGAGGGGUAACGGCCCACCAAGGCGAUGAUCAGUAGCCGGUCUGAGAGGAUGAACGGCCACAUUGGGACUGAGACACGGCCCAGACUCCUACGGGAGGCAGCAGUGGGGAAUCUUCCGCAAUGGACGAAAGUCUGACGGAGCAACGCCGCGUGAGUGAUGACGGCCUUCGGGUUGUAAAGCUCUGUUAAUCGGGACGAAAGGCCUUCUUGCGAACAGUUAGAAGGAUUGACGGUACCGGAAUAGAAAGCCACGGCUAACUACGUG
Molecule: ribosomal RNA, 509 nt
Filed under: uncultured bacterium
Lineage: Bacteria
Description: partial 16S ribosomal RNA
Rfam family: Bacterial small subunit ribosomal RNA
Source: RNAcentral